CCUAGUCCUAUAAAUAGGGACCUAUUUUCACCAAACACUCAUUCCAAACAUCUUGCAAAAAAUCCCAAAUACUCUAAACACUAUUUCUCUCUAAAAUUCUAACUUUGGCAUCGGAGGUUCUUCGGCCAAAGCCCCCAUUCAUCGUGGGCGCGUGAGGCUUUUAGCCUUAACCUAAGGUGCUAGUUGUUUUGUAGGUGCAAAAUCGUCCAAGAUCGAGGAGGAGAAAAUUUGCAUCCACAAAUUGGUGCUUUCAUUGAGAGUUGAAAUCCAUACUCGUAGAAGACUAUCGCACAAAAAGGUUUUUUCUUUAUUUUCUAGUCCAUUUGAAUAUUUUUCAUACGUUCUUAUUAUUAGAAUUUUUUACUUGCAAAGUUUCUUUGAUAAAACAUAUAAGAAAAAUAUAAUGGCUAGAAAUUUAGAAAAUUCCACAAGUGAAAAUUCUAAUAUUCAAGAAAUGGGAUUGCGGAGAUCCGUGAGGCUAAAUGCGACAAUAAGUGGAGCGGCACCACCACCACGAGUUUCCACCACGAGAACCACCGCGGUGGCUACCUCGGUAGUCACCCGUGGCGAGGUCCAUGGUGCUUUCACCACGGCCCGAGCCGUGCCAUCCAAGGCUCACGGCACCAAGGCCACGACCCAAGCCAUGUCACUCCAAGCCCAACGUGAAUUUAACGCGUUGCCAAGCCAAGCCCAAACCUCGCACCCAUGUGCAUCACACUCCGAGCAGCCUGCUCCAAUCGAGCAGCCCACUCUCGUGGCCCAACCUGCUCUCACAGCCCAUCCUGCUCCCGCCUAGCAGCCUGCUCUCGUGGCCCAGCCUGCUCUCGACGAGGAGCCUACUCCCGUGGUCCAGCUUGUUCUAGCCGAGUAGCCCACUCCCGUGGCCCAGCCUGCUCCUGCCGAGCAGCCUACUCUCGCAGCCCAGCUUGCUCUCGAGGCCCAGCCUGCUCAUGCGGCCCAGUCUUCUCCCAUGGCUUUCCAAGCAGCCCAAGUCGGCCCAAGACUAUCUCAACCAUCCAGACCUACCAUCGAGUCGGGGGCAUUCUCACCAUAUUUUUUCGCGAAUUUGACAUUUCCCAACUCAAAUCUCGUGCCCGGAGUCUACCACUCUUCCAUUGUUUAAGAAGGCACAUUCCUUCCAAGCUCUUCCAACCCAAAUGGAGAACAACACUUGUCUCGACAAGUCAUAGAGUUGACAAGCGUCCUCGCACAGCAGACGACCUUGGUGAAUCGGCUCUUGCAGCGCACCGAGAUGCAACGUGCCCCAGACGUGGUGUCCCGAAGUAGGACAAGGGCAGACAAAGAACCUCUCCAGCAGCGUCUCGGUAAGCAGCCACUCGAUCAGCCACGAACUGAGCAUUCAGGCAGUGUGCACUCCCGAUUGGGCCCCCGAGAUAGCGUAUACUCCCGUCUUAGAGCGUGGAGGAGCGUGCACUCUCGACUAGGCCCACAGACGAGCAUACAUUCACGGUUAGGGUCACACUCCGAUAGUCAACAUGAGCAGCCUUCCAGGCGAAGUGUUCAUUUACGGUUAAGCCCUCAAGGAGCAUCAUCCACCUCACAUCGGAGUAGGCAGCCCGACGGAUGGAGAGAAACAGUCACUCAAUACGGCUUAAGUGCAACCGACAGCCUGCGAAGAACUCGCUCGCCUGCUAAGAACGCGCUACAUGCACUGCAUCCGGGGUAUAGACAAGCCAAACACAUGGAAGAGCAGCCUAGACCAGCAAGUCACGGUUGGGGGUAGCCGAGAGCUCCGCUACCUCAACAAAAACAAAUUCAGGAAGAAGUAGAGAGACUCUUGACCAAGCGAUUGCGCAAUUUCCAACGCAAUGAGGUCAUCGACGAGGCACUACGACGGAACAUGACCAACAUAAGCAAGUCACCCUUCACGGACAAGAUCGAGCAGGCAGAGCCUCCACGCGAGUUUAGCAUGCCACAUUUCACAUCUUUCAAAGAGGAUGAAGACCUGGAGAGACACUUAAAGCACUACCGAAGCACAAUGAUCCUCUAUCAAAACAACGACGGUCUCAUGUGCAAGAUAUUCACCACCACUCUACAAGGCGAGGCACAAGAUUGGUUCUACACCCUGCCGCCACAAUCUAUCCGGAAUUUUGACGAACUUUCUUUGGUUUUCACCAAAGAAUAUUCAUCCUAUCGCUCGAUCAAAAAGAAGUCCGACCAUUUGUUCGACGUCAAGAAAAACCCAAAUGAGUCGCUUCGAGACUAUGUGAGGAGGUUCAAAACAGAGAAGGCAAAAAUAGUCGGAUGUAACGACUCGAUAGCUAGAGAAGCCUUCCAAAAAGGACUUCCAGCGGACCACCCACUAUUUGGAAAACUGAUAAUGAAAGAAUAUCUAACUCUGGCAGACUCUUUCGCUCUGGCAGAAAAGUAUGCACUUUGGGACGAAGUUCGACGAUCUUGAAUAUGAAGUUCCCCACUACUCUGAAGGAGAUUCAAAAUCUGACUGGACGAGUAGUCACAUCUGAAGCAGAAAUAAGCUCUACCAUCAUACAAGAAAAGCUGGGGGCCCGACUACCUAUAUUCCACAAUUUAAAAGCUCUCAUCGAUGCUAUUAGUUGUAUUCCACAGUUUAAAAGCUCUUAUUGAUGUUAUCAGAAAUUCAAAAGCUAACUUUGGCAAUAGUUGUUGUAACCUAAAAGCUCAAGUUUUACCUUCAAACGCACGCAGUCAUCAUCAUGAUGCACCAUUCUGCUGAAUCCAGACGUGCGACGAUAAAUGAGUAGACCUUAGUGGAUGCAAAGCUUUCUGACGAACACAACAACUCAGCUUAAAAGACACGCCAAGGGCAGAAGAACAUUGUAAGGAACACUCAGAAGCAAGUUUUAUCCUCGUCGUCCCAGAAGAUUCUACAUAAGAGCAACAUGUACCGGCAGUUGAGCACUACCUUCUGCCGUGCGUCACACGGCCCUAGCCGACCCUUACUCCAUUAUUCAGCUCUAGAGUGGCCCAAUAUCGAAAGUUAAGCAUCUCCUGCUACAUGUAACAUGGCCCUAGCUCCACGGCUCCCUGCCGAGCCUUCACGCCUAGCCUUGAUAACGCAACAGAGCAGCCUAAUGACGCCCCGAAGGCAGUCGAGCACACUUUAGCCGCACCUACUCCCUCAAUGGAGAUUUCUGGCAUUUGCAUGUCAACGGCGCAUCCAACUACAAAGGCUCGCGAGCAGCCGUGGUUCUUAUCACCCCAAACGGUUCAAUGCUCGAGCAGGCGAUCACUCUAAGUUUCAAAGCAUCUAACAACGAAGCAGAGUACGAAGCUCCACUAGCAAGCCUUCGAAUGAAAAAAGACUUGGCGGUGAAAAAGCUUUCAAUUCAUUCUGAUUCCCAACUAAUCACCAGCCAGACUACUAGGGGCAAAGGCAUGAUGAUCGUGGCAACUGACUACUUCACCAAAUAGGUAGAAGUAGAGCCCAUGACGACCACGAUUCAGACGGACAUAGAGCGCUUCAUAUGGAGGAACAUCAUUUACUGAUUUGGCAUCCCUUAAUCCAUCGUCACCAACGACGGCCCGCAAUUCGUGGGCAAAGAUUUGGUGAAGUUCUUCCAAAAAUAUGGCAUAAAGCAGCAUAUGUCUACGCCGAGAUAUCCUCAAGGCAAUAGGCGGGCCGAAACAUCCAAAAAGAUAAUCCUCAACUGCCUCAAGAAAUCAUUCACCAACAAGAAGGGAAAAUGGCCAGACAAACUCCCCGGAUGUCUAUGGGCAAAUCGCACCACCAAAAGACGAGCAACCGAUGAGACUCAUUUCUCUUUGGCAUUCGGCUAAGAAGCAAUCAUUCAUCCCAAUGUCAUCAAGCCAAGUAAGAAGCAAUCAUUCAUCCCAAUGUCAUCAAGCCAAGUAUCACCGCUCUACUACCAAGCAUUGAGCAGAACAGUGAGAAGAUAGCCACAAGAUCUGGCAGAGGAGAAACGCGAGCAUACAAAUACCCGCAUUGCAGCCUACCAGCAGCAGCUCUUCUCCAGCUACAACAAAAGAGCUAAGAUUCGGCAGUUCUAGCCCGGAGAUCUAGUCCUAAGAAAAGCCUUCAUCACUGCCCGCGGAGAGGACUCCAAAAAGAUGGAUCCCAUCUGGGAAGGCAAGUACAAGAUCAACAGAGUAGGCGGCAAGAGUAAUUACACAUUCGCCACCAUGAAACGACAAAAAGAUCGAAAAGCAGUGGAACGCCUACAAUCUGAGGAAGUACCAUGUGUGACCUCCCGCUACAUCAAAGCCUGAAGACUCAAACAGCUCGACGGGCACCACCUCACAAGCUGAGGACUAUCCAGUUGUUAUGCAGUUCCUACCUUACAGUUAAGUUCUCAUUCGUUUCACUCAUUUUUCAAUGAGAAAUUCAGAAGUAAUCACAACUUGGCUCGGCUGCAUGCUUACAACAACUGAUCAUUCCUGCACUUCAAAAGAAGACUGCGCCCUUCUUAAGGACUCAUCGCAGGAAUUGCGCCCCCCGAGGGACCAACCAUGCUCUCCAGUGCGAGAGGGUAAACCAAUUCCCCGACACCCAUAUGGGUCAGCUCUCACGGGAGGAUAAACUUUACACUCCGAAUAUCCAUACGUGUAUAAGCCUGGUUGCCCUAGUAUAACUAGAUGCACGAUGGCUUGCGCUGGGAUUCCUAGAAGUAGCCACAAUGGUCUUUUUCAAGGCUUAGCUAACUGAAGGAUUUUGGGUCUCUUGGCUUAAUCCGUGGGGAACCGGGCCCUAGAGACGGAGGGGGCACAUUACGCAGUACGCCCCAUAGACAGCUACCCUGGAACCCUAAAGCUACUACCGAGUGCACUAAGGUAGCCUACGGAUUCCGAAAGACUGCCUAUGGCUUGCCCUUCGAGCAGUAAAGCCGCGCUAGACUUAUACAACCGCACAUUUUUGUGAAAAGGUUAAACAAGCUAGCGCGCAUAUACGAAGUUUUAUCCACUGCAUACAUGCUACGUAGUCGAUAAGCUUCACCUCUGCCAAGCGCGGAACAACCUACACCAAGUCCUAAAGUGUUGUGAUACUUGCUACGCAACCUACAUAAUUGAAGAAAGUCAAGGUUAACAGCCUAGUGGUUACGCGGACUUGUCUACUUCUGUAAGUAAGGCAUCCGGCUGCCAACCCUAUGGCUAACAACUUUGCAAAGUUCUACACCAACACCUACGGCUGUAUAGGCUACGCGAGCUUGUCUGCUUAUAAAAAGUAGCAUGCCUGCCACUGGUCUAUCAAGUCUAAAGGUUAGGGCAUGAGCAAAAUAAGCAAAGAUGAAGAAAAACGAAGGAAAACAUAUUUAUAAACAAAUAGCAAAGGCCGAAGGAGUUCAAGCAAAACAAGAGCUACAAGGAAACAAAGAAAAUCCUAAAGGUUACCUAGAAUACUACACUACAGCAGCUUGGACAUCCCACGACUACUCAGUCGCCACACCUUCAACAGCCGUAACGCUCUUAGCAGCGGCAUCAUCCGACGCUUCACCCCCUGCUGCCCCAGCCUGGGCACUAACUUCUCCAACUACUUCACCAAUGGAAGCCUUAAAAGUAAAAGCAAACAAGUUUUUCAGAGAAAUAGAGAAGCUCAUCUACUCCCUUCUCAGCAUAAGCAGCAUUCAACUUUUCAUCCUUUGCAUAAGCAGCAAAACGAAGCUCAGAAACUGCAAACUCAAGAUCUUAAAUCUGAGGUAUUGUAACAUUCAAUCUCCUUCUCUGUACUUUCAUACUUAACUUGGAUCGCAUCAAGCCUAGUCUUCAAGUCAACAAUCUCGUGGCGAGCGGUCUCAAGCUGCAGAGAAGCAGGGGCAUAAAUAUUAGACCACUUCAAAGCAACAAGCUUAGAAUCCAACCUCUUAAUCUCCUCGACUGAGGAAUAAGCUUCAGCUACCAUAAUCUUCGCCACCUCUUUGACGGCCUUGCUAUAUAUGCAUCAUAGCAAGCAAAGCAGUUCUAUAUUGGGUCGUAUGUUUCGUAAAGGAACUUGGGCAAACAACCUUUUUACCGCUAUCAACAAACUUGGCACAAACGUUCAUGACUUCAAGCAGAUCUAGUUUUAAAAGCACAUAGAUCGCAACAGCAUCCCUAGAAGCAGGCUUAGUGGAUUUCUCAUAACUGCCCACGCGAGCAAUAUCUUAUUUCCUAGCAGGCGAAUCAAUCUCAGCAGCAAAGAGAUUAGGCUUUGGCGCCACUUUAGCAGCAGAGUCCACUUUACCACUCUUCAUAAUAGCAAGUUUUUACAAAGGUGAACCAGACAUGGCUCCCAACGAAAGUCCUGGUACAAACUUCGGCACUCGGGGCAUGAUAAAACCUUUACGCUAAAUAAUUUUAUCAACAAUUGUACUAGCCAUUCUCAACAUGGAAGACACCACAUGCUCAGAUCUAGCAACCUUAUUUUUCUUCCCAUUGGAAGAAGUCAUGUCAAUCACAUACCUCUCGGUAGCAGGCGGACCCUCAUGAGCAGCGGAAGAAGUCUUCAGUUUUUUCUUAACUGGCAUCUCAUGAGCAGGCGGGAAAGAUCUCUUCUUUCCAUCUUCAUUCAUAGUAAGCUUCAUGACAGCGAUCAGACGAGCCAAUGCAUCUGCCUUGAUCCUCUUUACCUCCUCUUUCGGGAACAGCCAACGACAUUCAUGGUACUCAGCAGGGGAGCUCAACCCAGCAUUCCAGCAGGCAGGAUGCCUGCAUGCCCAACAUUUCAGCAGCCCAUGAGACCCACAAUCUCUUCAUUUCUCUCAAUCGCCAGCCUGGCCCGAGUCAGGUCCAAAAGCCCAAAUGACAUGAGUUAUGCGGCUCGCCUAGCACUGCGCCAGCGCCACAAUCUGCGACCCCAGCCGCACAAACUACCCUUAGCUCAAGCCAAGCCAAGUUGUCCAAGCAGUGGUCCCUGCCACGACAUCUCCUCGGCCUAUGCCGAGCCAACUCCUGGCCCUUGCCAGCCGACGUGCCGCACCACCCCGACGGUUGCCCCGCAAUAGCACUAUCCGAGAAGAAGGCAAGAAAAAUUAAAUUUUUCUUACAUCGGUGCGGCACGGAGAAGACGAAGAAAUCAACGAAAGACGGUCCUUUGCACGGGCAAGAUGUAGAAGAUUGCUAGAGGAGGGGGAACAAAUAUCUUCUAACUUUCUCUCUCUUGUGGGGUAGACUAAAUUGCUCUCCAAAGUUGAUUUAAUAACCCACUUAAGGUGGACUUAAAUAGGCUUUGAGAGAAGUUUAUUUUCCCUUCCUAGAAGGAUCUAAUUUCCAAUUAAAGAGAGAAUCUACAUCAAAAUAGGAAGCAGUCCUAAGUUUCCUAAAGCAAGAAGAUCUCUACACCUGCUGCCCUUUUCUGCGAGCAGCCCAACAGGUGUGGGGGCAUUUGUGGAGCCAAAAAUAUUCACAAGGCGACACGUGGAUUUUUAGACAAAAAGGACAAAAAUACCCUUGCAGUACAACGAGGUUCCUACGCACAAGCAGCGGGCAACCCUCUUUCAACCAAGACAGAAGUGCCCAAAAUAGGUAACAAUUCAAAGUCCAUCUCAUCAAAUCCUUUCUAUAAGGUAAUUCCCAAACACAUUCCUUUUAAAAUUAUGUUAAUUGGCUAAUUAAUGGGUUUAUUGCCUAAUUAACCCAUUAAUUGUCAAUUAAACCAUCCAUUAUAUCCAAAUGACCACAAAAUACAUCCAAUUCAACCCUAAAACACUACAUGGCCGGCCAUCCCUUUAGCUUUCUACCUUCCCUAUUUUUCCCACUUUAUUACCCAAAUAAAGCUAAUCAUUCAAUUUGAUAACCCCCCAUUUAUUUCUAUCAUAUUUUAUUAGCCAAUAAAGUGGCUAAUUAAACCACAAAUUCACCAAAAAAUGGACAAAGUGGCCGGCCACUUCCUUUGAAAAGUGGACCAACCUAGUCCUAUAAAUAGGGACCCAUUUUCAUCAAACACUCAUUCCAAACCUCUUGCAAAAAAUCUCAAAUACUCUAAACACUAUUUCUCUCUAAAAUUCUAACUUUGGCAUCGGAGGUUCUUCGGCCAAAGCCCCCCCAUUCAUCGUGGGCGCGUGAGGCUUUUGGCCUUAACCUAAGGUGCUAGUUGUUUUGUAGGUGCAAAAUCGUCCAAGAUCGAGGAGGAGAAAAUUUGCAUCCACAAGUGACACGUCAGCAUUUACCAGAAAAACUGACGGCGGUCUAACAUUGGCACAAGGUGGUCUAACAUUGGCACAAGGCGGUAAAAUGAGGUAUAACAUUGUCAUUUUAAAAAGAUGAGGUAUGAAUGUAUCGUCAGACCAAUAAUUAAGACAAUUUUUUGUCAUUUACCCCUUAGUUUAUGUACGUGUUGCUGCUUCACCACCCAACAUUCCGUGUCAUAAAGCAUUGAUGGCCUUAUUGUUGUCCUAUAAAAUUUUCGCUUAAACUUGAGUGGCAUACGAUGGUCGCACAACACACCCAAUACACUCUUCUACUUCAUCCAUCUAGCUUGUAUUCUAUGGUUAAAAUCUCCAACCAACUCUGUUCUUUUGCAAGAUAAAACCUAGGUAACGAAAACGAUCGCUCUUUAGUACUCCUUGAUCUUCAAUCUUCACCUCUAACUCAUGAACCUGAACUUGCACCCCUAACUCAUUUGGUUGAAAACUCAAACCAUAUAAAUUCAACCGUUAAAACGCCCGAGUAUCCUAUGCCGUAUGAGCUUUUGGGGGAAGAAAGUGCAGUAAUAGAAGCUGCUCUCAGAAAAGAAAAUGGUGUACUUUAAACCUGAAUGGGGAAAGAAAAAGGUUUAUGGAACUAUUUAAUAAUCAGCACCCCCACAAAUCGGGCAUCCCCAAUUCCUCAUGCACAAACUUUCUAUUGUUCCCACAGCAAGUAAAAAAGGCGGCAAAUUUCCAGACCGAGUUUCGGAAGAUCUUCGUUUCAACUAAGUACUUCUGCAAAGAUUUUGAUCUGCAGAAGUUCAGUUGUCAAUUUAACAACUAAUUCAAAACCACAAGCGUUCCUCUCAGAG
This 8932-nucleotide long non-coding RNA is filed under the name Malus domestica (apple). Its description in RNAcentral is "long non-coding RNA (MDOM_LNC012384)". Lineage: Eukaryota; Viridiplantae; Streptophyta; Magnoliopsida; Rosales; Rosaceae. The record is from RNAcentral.